Molecule: ribosomal RNA, 480 nt
Filed under: uncultured bacterium
Lineage: Bacteria
Description: bacterial SSU rRNA
Rfam family: Bacterial small subunit ribosomal RNA
Source: RNAcentral
AUUGAACGCUGGCGGCAUGCUUUACACAUGCAAGUCGAACGGUAACAGGGAGCUUGCUCCGCUGACGAGUGGCGAACGGGUGAGUAAUGCAUCGGAACGUACCCAGUCGUGGGGGAUAACGUAGCGAAAGUUACGCUAAUACCGCAUACGUCCUGAGGGAGAAAGCGGGGGACCGUAAGGCCUCGCGCGAUUGGAGCGGCCGAUGUCGGAUUAGCUAGUUGGUGGGGUAAAGCCUACCAAGGCGACGAUCUGUAGCGGGUCUGAGAGGAUGAUCCGCCACACUGGAACUGAGACACGGUCCAGACUCCUACGGGAGGCAGCAGUGGGGAAUUUUGGACAAUGGGGGCAACCCUGAUCCAGCCAUGCCGCGUGAGUGAUGAAGGCCUCGGUUGUAAGCUCUGUGGGAGAGAAGAAUAAGUGUAGUGAAUAUUACGAUGAUGAGGUAUCUCCUUAGCAAGCACCGGCUAACUCUGUGCCAGC